This 1212-nucleotide long non-coding RNA is filed under the name Daphnia magna. Its description in RNAcentral is "uncharacterized LOC116923593, transcript variant X1". Lineage: Eukaryota; Metazoa; Arthropoda; Branchiopoda; Diplostraca; Daphniidae. The record is from RNAcentral.
GUCAAAUGGCGUCACAAGUUGAUUCCCAGUUGUAUUUAGGUGAGAUUCCUUUUUGCACACUAGAUCCAAAUUCAGGCCAGCUUGUAUAUUGGUUAUUUGACGACUUCACUGACAAAUACUUUAAGUUCAGCUACUGCUGAAUUCUUCGUAUGUGAAACCGAAAGUUUUUCCGACAUGGGCAUUAUUUAUGGUGAACCUCGUGUUGACUAAAGCAGUCCGAUUGAGUACUUUCAAGACCUCAACUAUACACCGAGGCAUAUCUAUUUGUUGGGUUUUGUAUAAAAUGAUUUAAUGUUUAACUUAACUCAUUGAAGAAUGCCAAGGACUUAUGUGAGAAAAAACAAUGAGUAGAAACCGACUGAAGAAAAUAUUACAUCUGCCAUUACUAAUGUUCUCAUUGGUCGCUACACAAUCAGAAAGGCUGCUGAAAUUCACAAUGUUAAAAAAUCUACUCUGUGUUAUUAUAAAUCCCAACAUACCUUGUCCAGUGUAAUGUUGGUCCGAUUCAUCAAGAGAAAAGAAAAUCACAGUCAAAUUUUCAAUUUCAAACAAGAAGAACAUCUUGCACAGUAUUUGAAGGAAUGAUGUUUAUACAACCAUAGUCUGUCAAUUCAAGAGACGAAGAAGCUCGCCUUAUCAUUUGCACAAGCAAACGACGUGAAUGCUCCACAGAAUUGGCUAGAGAAAGAAGAAGCUUCCAAGGACUGGCUAACAUGUUUUUUUUAAAUGGAAGCGAAAACAUUUUAUCUGGAUUUGUGAAAGCUGGCAUUUGGCCAAUUAACAGAAGUAUAAUCCCCGCAUCUGAAUUCAGCCCGAGUUUAGUUACGGACAGAUUGGAAAUCGCAAAUGCUUCCACUGGGAAUGCAGGAUCAACCAAAGACUUUAUCUUGAAUUCAAAUAUAAAUCUGGCAAUCAGGUCAUCAGUUGAAACUUUUUGCGACAAGCCUUCUACUAGUGGUGACGCAAAUACUAUUGGUAAAGAAAUUCUGAUUCCGUCCGUAACGCGUUCGGAAAUGUUUUUUUGGUACUAUCCGGCCAUUUCCUAAAGUUUGUCAAACACCAGUUACUCGCCGGACUUCUAGUCGAUUAGGAAGGACAAGAAUUUUAACAGAUUCACCAGAAACUAAAACUAUUGAAGAAGACUUCAUGAAAAAAAGGAAAAAAAAUUUAAAAUGAAAAAAAAAAAUACAGUCAAACGUCAACUGACACCAA